CUGGUAUGAAUGGGUGAACGAGGGCUUAACUGUCUCUUAAACACUAUAUAGAACUAACAUCCAGGUGAAGAGGCCUGGAUACACGUGGAAGACAAGAAGACCCUGUCGAGCUCUGUAAYUUAUUGCUMUCUUGAAUUUAGAAAAACCUUGGAGAAGCAUCUCAAGUUACUUCGUUGGGGCGASGAGAGGGAAAAAAAUACACCUCUUUAUAACAAGGCCGAUUAGCCAUAUAAUGACCCAUUUAUAUGAUCAAAGGAAAAAGCUACCGCAGGGAUAACAGGUUAACUUCCCCAAAAAGCCCCCAUUGACAAAAAAGAUUGGCACCUCGAUGUUGGCUU
RNAcentral lists this ribosomal RNA (338 nucleotides) under Saccocirrus sp. 2 MDD-2013. RNAcentral's name for it is "partial 16S ribosomal RNA". It matches the Rfam family "Bacterial large subunit ribosomal RNA", at positions 1987 to 2538 of the family's 2925-position model. The record is from RNAcentral. Lineage: Eukaryota; Metazoa; Annelida; Polychaeta; Saccocirridae.